RNAcentral lists this long non-coding RNA (1068 nucleotides) under Solanum tuberosum (potato). Its description in RNAcentral is "long non-coding RNA (STUB_LNC008823)". Lineage: Eukaryota; Viridiplantae; Streptophyta; Magnoliopsida; Solanales; Solanaceae. The record is from RNAcentral.
UUCAGAUGUUUGUCACCAUGCUAUGUUACCUUUGUGCUUAUUCUGUAGUUCUUGUAUUUGAUUUUGUUUCUCUCAUUCCAUGGAGGUUGAGGUCCAUGUUGUCAUAUGAUUGAUCCCUUGCAUUUAUUUGGCUGAAGUGCAGUUAGACUAGGUGCUGCUGGUACUGCUCUCCUUCACAAACUACAGAAGGGUAUACCUCCUUGGGUUCCUCUCAGAGGACAUGAGCCGAAGACAUAUAAGCAGAUGCAAGAAGAAGCUUAUGAAAGUAGAAGGCGUGAUUUGGCUGUGCUAGAAGCAAAUGAUGGUGUCUGGCCUGGUGUAAGGACUCCGAGUCAUACCAUGUUUCUUUGGGCUAGUGGCUCAGAGCUGACAUCAAUUUUGGAGGCUGACCACAUGCCAAACAAAUAUAUCCCAAAAGAUCUCAGGUAUGUAGAAUCAUUUCAUUUUGCAACAUUUGUCUUUCUACUGUUGAUGUCUGAAACUUAUCACCCAUCCAGUGUUUUGGACGGCGAUAGGCCACAAGGUCUGCCUCGCCUCGUGGCGAGGCGAGCAGCGAGGCGCUCACCUUUUUGACUUGAGGCACCAAUUAAUACCAAAAACUUAAAAUAUUUAAUUGCAUAUAUAAAUAUCCAAAAUCUCAAUAGCAAUAACAUAUUAACAAAUAUUUCAAUUCAAAAACUACUACUCCCUCUGUCCCAAUUUAUAUGACUUACUUUCCUUUUUAGUCAGUCCCAAAAAGAAUGACACAUUUCUAUUUUAAGUAACAAUUUGCCUAUAAAAUGUCUUUUUUACCCUUAAUGAAAUGAUUUACAACCACACAAAUUUCUAUCAUUCAUUUUGGACCACAAGUUUUAAAAGUCUUCCUUCCUUUCUUAAACUCCGGUACUGCUCUCCUUCACAAACUACAGAAGGGUAUACCUCCUUGGGUUCCUCUCAGAGGACAUGAGCCGAAGACAUAUAAGCAGAUGCAAGAAGAAGCUUAUGAAAGUAGAAGGCGUGAUUUGGCUGUGCUAGAAGCAAAUGAUGGUGUCUGGCCUGGUGUAAGGACUCCGAGUCAUACCAUGUUUC